UGAAGAGGGAAAAGCUCAAGUUUGAAAUCUGGGGGGACCGUCCAGAGUUGUAAGCUGGAGAGGUGUCGUCCGAUGCGGUCCAGGCUCAAUUUCCUUGGAACAGGAGGUCAUGGAGGGUGAGAACCCCGUACAUGGCUUGGGCGCCGCCGCCCUUGUGACGCAUCCUCUAAGAGUCGGGUUGUUUGGGAAUGCAGCUCAAAAUGGGUGGUAAAUUUCAUCUAAAGCUAAAUAUGGGCGAGAGACCGAUAGCAAACAAGUAGAGUGAUCGAAAGAUGAAAAGUACUUUGAAAAGAGAGGGAAACAGUACGUGAAAUUGUUGAAAGGGAAGCGUUUGGCAUCAGCCCAUGGCGGUGGUACGAACAUCCUUGCUUCGGCAUGGUGCACUCGUCCACCGUUGGGCCAGCGUCGGCUCUGCCUGCCAGAGAAAGGCCUUGGGGAAGUGGCUCUCCCUUCGGGGAGCGUGUUAUAACCCAUGGUGUCAUGUGGCUUUGGCGGG
RNAcentral lists this ribosomal RNA (496 nucleotides) under uncultured Archaeorhizomycetes. RNAcentral's name for it is "eukaryotic LSU rRNA". It matches the Rfam family "Eukaryotic large subunit ribosomal RNA", at positions 94 to 592 of the family's 3401-position model. The record is from RNAcentral. Lineage: Eukaryota; Fungi; Ascomycota; Archaeorhizomycetes.